AAUGCAUUCCUAUUCACAUUCCUGAGCUGAAAAAAGGUAUUCAUUCGUUUAAACAGGAAUUUAAUUUAAUGAGUGUAUGCUUUACAAACAUUCUAUAAUAUUAGGUUGUUAAAAAUAACCUAUGCACCACAGUUUUCAGUGUUGUCUAAAACAGUUUCAGAAUGUAUUCCCAAUUAUCCCUACCUAUCCUAUAUCUACCUACUUAAGAAAUAAGCAAUUUCAACAAUCUAAAUUCACACGAACAUAAUAUUUUGAAAAGUGCCUAUCUAGACAUACAUGAUUAUGUACGUAGGUAGAUACUUUUAACAUUCCAUUAUUAUCCUUUAUACAGCAGUUCUUCAUAUUUUAUCUUUUCGCAUAUUUUCAAAUGACUAACAUUGCACAAGUAUUCGAUCGUAUUAAAAUAUUAUAAUAGCUCCUAUCGUAUAGCUGCUGCUAUUGCUGUAUACAUACAUGAUAUUAUAAACUCGUGACUAAUGUAUAUUUAGUAAUGAUUUUAAUACCUAUACAAACACUACAAUAAUACACAUCAGAAAAAUACCAAUCAGCAAUAAUUAUUAACGUUAUCAUUUAAUAUUUUCCCAGGGUUAUCUGCAACAUUUAAUUUAAAUAUUAUUUACUCGGACCUUUAGCUUUCUAUUAAAUCAUACAGUAGAUAGUCAUCAUUCCGGAAUUAUUCAUCGCGGCAAAUAAUGGUUAUUUCGAUUUCUUUACAUAAGAAAUUAAGGCGUUGAUGAUAAUAAUUUAUUAACUUAUCAUACAAUUUAUAAUGGGCACAACUGAAUUGUUAUCGUCGAACUAUUCGAUAAUUGAUCGCAUUCGAACUGUUCAAUGGAUUAAAAACUAUAAUAUAUAUAUAGUUUCUAUAGAACUAAUAGUUUUCAAAAUUUUUCGGAAUAAAAAUUGUCAACCAUGGAAAAAAAAAAUCAAAUAAAUAUUUCAUAAUUCAUCCAAACUAUUGACACGAGUUGUAUAAAUAAUUCUGAGGUGUCUAAUACUGGACAAAAUUUUAUAUAUACCUAAUAAAUAAUCCAAUUCUGCAGUAAUAUAGGUUGCAGCUAGGGCUCAUAAGUUGAUGCAUUUUGGCUUUUGCUAGGUCGUAUUGCAUUUAAUACAAAUUUUUAAUUUAAUUCAAUACCUUCUGGUAACAUAGAAAUUAGUAUCAAGGCUACAUGAUUCAUUACAGAUGUAUAGGUAAUAUGACAUUUAAAGUUGCAUAUUUUGAGGUUUUUCGUAGAGGUUUUUUUAUCUAUCAUCGGUGACUGAUAAAAAUAUCUUCGCGAAAAUAUGUUCGACAAAUAUUUCUCUUAAAAAUAUAUUCGUGGAAAUCUUUUAGACAAAAUAUUAGAAUUUUCCUAUACAAAUCCUAUCCUAUACGAUCGUAUAACUUAUCAUGAUACUCCAUAUGACGCAUUUAUUAAUUCAUUUCAUUUUUAUAUGUAAAUUUUUUUAUUUAUAUUUAUUUACGUUUACUAACCAUUUUAAUAAUUUUGUAUUUA
Cinara cedri is the source of this 1499-nucleotide non-coding RNA. The record is from the annotation of a GenBank genome assembly. Lineage: Eukaryota; Metazoa; Arthropoda; Insecta; Hemiptera; Aphididae.